This is a non-coding RNA of Phascolarctos cinereus (koala), 2894 nucleotides long. NCBI's taxonomy places the organism in Eukaryota, Metazoa, Chordata, Mammalia, Diprotodontia, Phascolarctidae. The record is from RefSeq and is a predicted model, not a curated record.
CAGCGAGAGUUAAGCACUACGCCAGGUCACCCCAACCAGCCUCGAGCUCUCCAGGAGCCUACGAGGGAGGAGAAAUAGGCGAGGGGAGUGGGGCUGGGCGGACCGGGGAAGAGGAGGGUCGCGUGUGCGGGCCUCGGGCCGUGCUCCCGGGCCUCAGGAGGCCCGCAGCUCCCGGCGCAGCCAGUUUCGGAGGGAGGGAGGGAGCCGGCCCCUGCGCUGCCUGCCUUUAUUCAUUCGCCGCUUUUCACAAUAAGCACACAGACCAAAUUAGCCCCGUAUCAUGGCAUCUAACUGUCACGUUGUUUAUGUUUUACUUUGGUUUAACACUCAAUUUGCGACUCUACUGCUCACAGUAAAGUGUCAAUUCCUUUGCCGAAUUAAAAGAAAGGACGAGAGUAAUUUAUUUCGUGUAAAAAGGAGUAUUUGAAACAAACUGUUUCAGUGACAGCUUUCAGCUUCUGAUUGUGACAGUUUGGAUACUAUUGACGCAAACUCUAUUUUCUUUCAUUUUAUUGUUUUCUAUCCCUUAAUAAGCCAGUCUAGCCUCUUGACCCUAGUCAGCUGAUGUGGAUCACAUGCGCUCGGUUGCCGGGUUCAUUUUCCCUUUUACCCUCCAUCUUCUUUCCGUUAUUUCCACAGUGGGAGCCAAGCAGAAUCGAGAUCCACCUUGGCCCAGCAAGGCUUUUCUUUCCAAAGGGCAAGGCGAUCGAUCCGAAGCGCCACUUUAAAGGCUCAUCAAUCUUAAUCUAGGUUGCUCAAGUAAUUAUGCCUGAUUCUCUUGUACGAUUACAAGUGGAUUUGGGUUUCUAUUCCCCAGGCCCCUCUUCUUUGUGUUUAUUGAAAGAUUCGUACAGACAGCAGUUCCCUGAUUUGCUGAUCCAUUUGCCCCUUUAAACAGACCAUCCAAACCCCUCCUUUAACUCUUCAGCACCCAGGUUACUUCUCCAAAGCCACAGAAUUUCCUUUCUAUGCACUUUACUAAUGGGAUCUCGGCAAAGAAAGACGUGAGGACCGGGAUUUGGGGAAAGCACUUCCACUGGACACCCAGCUAUCUGCAUAACAAAAACUACAACAACCGCUGCUCUUUAAUUGAGUAUCUGGAAGUUCUGGAAGCCCCUCAAAACAUAAAUGCUCAUUAAAAACAAAAGAGCACCAUUUUCCCAACACCAGGCAGAGGCUAUUCUGGCUGACUGUACACUAGAAGGAUAAGUAUUGUGUUUAAAAGACCAUUUGCAAUACUUGAUUGUGGAGGAGCCUCCUUCAGAGCUGCCCUGAGAAAGACACCUAUUCUAGAAUGUCCAAGAGAAGAUGUUUCCAUGGACCAGAUGACUACAUCUGUGACUCAAGAUAAAAUUAGGAAACCAAUUCGGAAUAAAGAUACCAAGUGACACAGCCAGAAAUGGAAGCCAGGCCACUUGAUUACAAAUGAAGUGCUCUUUCUACCAAUACAUGGCUGCUCCUACCAACUUACUACCAAGAGAUUUAGGAAGCAAGUGUAAUAAUAAGUAUUAUUUCUCAAUGCUGUUUAAUUUUGCAAUUUAAUUAAACAAAUUCUGUCCAUAUUUUGAGUGGACGAUAGGACUAAUAUCCACACAGGUCUGAUUAAAAUAAUUUGAUUAAGUAAUAGUCCAGAUGUAGAGGGAUGUUUUCAGUGGGAGCAUGAAGGCUCUACAAAUUAACAAAUGCUUCAAAUCAGGGUUUGAUUUAUUGUUUUGUUGACUGUCUCUACUUUAAAAAGUGGUAAAGAAUUAAUAAUGCAAAUUAAGCUUAAAAGUGUGUCCUGUACUUUCAGAGAUCUGGUUGUUAAACACUGAUCAACAUACUAACUUAAGUGUGCUGGAAACCUAGUUGAAAGUCAUGUUAGAAUUCUGUAGUACCCCCAAAUUUCCAGGGUGGUAUUAAAUGUGUUUCUGUUGAAAGCAUUUUGCAUUGUGAAGUCAAUUUCACAAUAAAGUCUGCAAAGGAAGAAAAAAAGCUCCAAAUGUAAGAUAGAUUUAUAAGACUAAGUAUUAUUUUGAAAAACUUGUGAGAUCAGAGGUGGGUGAAGUAUCAAAAGAUGGAUUCCAUUUAAAAAACCCAAUUGAAUAGUUCUAUAAUGGUAUCGUGGGUUAUGUUAUUAAGUGAGAUAUUCUUUUAACAUAAUUAUCAAUUCUGUACUUAGUAAGUGUGGUCAAAAAACAAAGGUGAAUAGUUUUAGAUUAUUUUAAAGUCAUGAAUAUUUUUGUGUUUUGUAAAGCUGGAUUCAGUAAGUGUUUUGGUUUUUUAAACAGAACCUGAGUUGACUUUUAAAUAGUUUUCCAGGGUUUGCAUAGACUUCCAUUAUAGAAUUGAAGAGCAAGGGGCAACGAGGUUAGAGACUCAGGGCAAAACUUUUAUUAUUUUGUUUGGUCCUGCAUAAAGCUUUAGAAACCUAAAGCUGGAAAUUUAAAGACAGCAUUUGUUAGAAGUAGGGAUGGGUAAAUGUGGCUUUUCAACUUUAGAACUCUGUGGGUUCUAAGUUUCAAACUGAACUUGAAUCCUUUGGGAAUAGUAUUUAUGACUGGCAAAACAACUUCCUGAUUCAAAGAGGAAAAAAAAAGGAGCUUAUAAAAAGGCUCAUAAGGCUUGUUGGACAUCAAAUAGCUUUUACAAAACAACAUUUUGAUGAGUUAAGUGUGAGUGAGUAAGGAACAUAUGGAUUAAAUUUCCCUUGAAUACACAUGGGUUUAAAAAUUAAGGGGAAAGAAAUAGGCAAAAAUGCAUUUGGGGUUUCAGUGAACCUAAAAUGUUUAAAAGAUACUCUGACACAGAAUCUUAGGCUCUUGCAAUAAUAGUUAGAAAUCAGUAACUGAAAAUAUAUUAAAAAAUAUGGUUAAACUUCUUUAUGAUAGUAGUGUUGGAGAAUACUAACACCU